RNAcentral lists this ribosomal RNA (497 nucleotides) under uncultured bacterium. RNAcentral's name for it is "partial 16S ribosomal RNA". It matches the Rfam family "Bacterial small subunit ribosomal RNA", at positions 28 to 507 of the family's 1533-position model. The record is from RNAcentral.
GAUGAACGCUGGCGGCGUGCCUAAUACAUGCAAGUCGAGCGAACAGACGAGGAGCUUGCUCCUCUGACGUUAGCGGCGGACGGGUGAGUCACACGUGGAUAACCUACCUAUAAGACUGGGAUAACUUCGGGAAACCGGAGCUAAUACCGGAUAAUAUAUUGAACCGCAUGGUUCAAUAGUGAAAGACGGUUUUGCUGUCACUUAUAGAUGGAUCCGCGCCGCAUUAGCUAGUUGGUAAGGUAACGGCUUACCAAGGCGACGAUGCGUAGCCGACCUGAGAGGGUGAUCGGCCACACUGGAACUGAGACACGGUCCAGACUCCUACGGGAGGCAGCAGUAGGGAAUCUUCCGCAAUGGGCGAAAGCCUGACGGAGCAACGCCGCGUGAGUGAUGAAGGUCUUCGGAUCGUAAAACUCUGUUAUUAGGGAAGAACAAAUGUGUAAGUAAAUAUGCACGUCUUGACGGUACCUAAUCAGAAAGCCACGGCUAACUACGUG